AUUCUUCUAUAAUAUCAAUUAAGGUGCUUUCUUUACUACUUUCAUCAGUUGAAUAUGCAGUGUUGUUUGUCGCUUUUAAUUCAGUGAAUAUUUAAAUAGUGCUGAGCUAUGGGCAUUCUCUCAUGCAUCUGUUAUUAGCAGGGGCAUACAUGUGUAGAACAGUCAUAUGAAACCUUAUAUAAGGCAUGCUCCCUGGUGGAACAGUAAGGUCUGAGACCUCAUCAGAAAUGCUGAAUCUCUGGCUACACCAAGAUCUCCCAGUGAUUCAUACACAGGGUAAAAUUGAGAAGUUGCUAGCUAUUAUCAAAGUCUGUGAAGACAGUACAAUUUUUUAUUCAUUUCCUUCUCUUUUCGCUUCCACAACUAUGAAUGUUUCUCAAAUAUUGGUUUUCUGAUUAUUUGUUUGUUCAUUCAUUUCUCCUUGAACAUUCAUUUAACUAUGCAAAAUACCGAGCAAUUGAGGUUGUAAAAAGGUAAAUGUUAAGUGAGUUAAGAUAGACCACCUCAGUUGGUUAAUCUAACAUAUGCAAAUGAAAUCUUAGACUUUAACUUGUUUUCACUUGGAUUUACAAUCAACAUAAUAGUUAGCAGUGCAAAACUUAGAGACAAGAUUCUGAUGUAAGCGAGUGAAUAGAAAUAGCCUGCAGUGCUUCCCUAUUAUUUCUUCAUCAGGACGUAUCUGAAGUUCAGAGGUCCAAGAUGAUUAGAAAGUAUGAGGAACACACCAAGUGAGGAAAGAAAAGAAACAGUGGGUAUAAAGUCUUUCAUACCAUUAGGCUGUUGGGGUGGGGGGUUUGCUUGUGCCCACAGUUGUGUCCAUCACCCUAUGAGGCCAUUCCUCCAACACCACAAUUAUAUUCUUCCCAGUGACUUUGGUAUGCCAUAACAUAUACCAGGAUUUGAAGAAGCUCAGAGUCUAAUUCUAUUUUUCUCUCACUCUGCCAUGUCUCUCAGAAAGUCUUCACUUUUUAGUUGUAUCUGUUACUUCUAUGCUGGUGAUUUUCAGAUCUCCAGCCUUAAACUCAAUCCCAUGGUCUAGAAUUCAUAUAAUCAUUUUUGCCUAAAACUCAAACAAGUUCAUCACCUAUUCAUUAGGUGAUGUACACCUUAAUCCCACCUUUUCAAUCCAGACCAACUUUUCCACUAAACCUUGAACACACCUUUGACUCUAAUACUAAUUUAUGCCCCAUGCUGAAUCAGUCACCAGUAGCUUGUCAUGUCUCUGUCCAAUGUCACUGUGAUUCAUUCCUUCACCUGUACCAGCAAUUUAUCACUGUCCCUUAUAAAUUCAUACCCUUGUCAUUUCAUUACCAACCACUGAAGUAGCCUCCAAUAGGUUUUAGAUGCAUGUGUUUUCUUGUCUCUAAUUAUUCUUCAUGCCAGUUUAUUGAAACCUCCCCCUUUCACUAUCAUUUUCAAAAUAGACAUGGCCUUUAAGUUGAAAGGAAAAUUUUUAAAUUCUCCUCUUCAAAUUCCUCAUUAUUCAGAAGAGGCAAUUGAGGCUCAGUGAGGUUAAAUAAGUCAUGUGGCUAGUUGACAAAGCUAAAAGACACAUGCCUUCUGACUGAUUUACAGCUUAUUGUAUUUUUUAAAGAAAAAGAUUCAUUAUAAACUGCUCAGACAUUCAAGAAAACAUCGUGAACAAAUGACUCAGUUUAAAAAAUAAUUUUGUUUUUAUUUCACUAAUGCCUGUAAAUAAUUAUGGUAGACUAAAACUGAAUACUAUUCUGUGGAUUAUCAGAUUUGUCAUAGCUUAGUGAGUAGUGAAAUAUGAUGAGAAAGGAGAUAUUGUUCUAUAGGUGGACGGUAAGUAUAGAAUAGGAAUUGAGAAUUCAUUUAGACACUUCAUAGCUUUUAGAAACUCAUUGUAUUUCUAAAUUUCAGAGUUCCCAUCUUGGCUCGGAGGGCUAAGAACCCAACAGAAUGUCCAUGAGGAUGUGGGUUCGAUCCCUGGUCUUGUUCAGUGGGUUAAGGAUUGAAUGUUGCCACAAGCUGAGACAUAGGUCUCAGAUGCGGCUCCAAUCUGGCAUUGUUGUGGCUGUGAUGUAGGCAGGCAGCUGCAUCUCUGAUUCUACUCCUAGCCAGGGAAAUUCCCUAUUCCACAGGUAUAAAAAGAAAAAUAAAUAAGUAAAUUUCAUUUUAUCUAUUAAAUCAAAUUUCAUACUUUGGGUAGUUGUGAAGAUUAGAUGUGUGUAAAUUUUUAAAUACUAAACAACACAAAGUACCAUUUUGCGUGUGACUAUUGAAUGUUAUACAUAUGGAAGCAGACAGCAAAGACUCAUUUGGGGCUCUGGUUAACAAAAGUGUUAAAAAAAAUAAAAAAGAUUUAGAAAAGUUCAGAGCAAAGACACUAUGAGAACAUUCCCUAAUGGGUUAAAAUGCAGAGGAACAAUUGCUGUGUUUUUAAUUGGUAUUAAUAUAAAUGAUAAAGGUUUUCAUUUCUUAACAAAAGAAGAGGACCUAUAGAAUGGCAGUCUUUAACGUUAUUAUCAAAAUAUGAUUAGUCCCUUUUGAACUAUGGCAUGUAUACUAAAUGCACUUUUUUUAGCUCAUGGACAAAAAACAGAAAUGGAAAUAGAAUGGAAAUUAAAUUGACAUCCAUAAAAGCUAUAAGAUCACAAUAAAAAGUAUGAUAUAGAAGUGAAUAGUCUAGAUUAAGUUAGAGACACCAUCUUGAAAUCCAAACUUAAGAAGUUCAGAAAACCUUUUAUAAGCUAACUUCCAACAGCAAUGAGAAUCUAAACAUCUAAGUUGAAAUGUCCUUUUUCUACAUAUAAGAUCAAAAAUAAAAGUGAAUUAACUCAUAGCAGUAUAGUUAUAAUUAGAGAAAAGACAGUAAUAGAAAGAUGAGAAGAAAAUAUAAGAUUGUCUUAGUUCUAGUAUAUCUAGUGCUUCCAUUUUGUUUUUUCAUUUUGAAAUGAUUUAACAUUACUUAUCUUUAAUACACUUAAUACUAGCAUAGAAAGAAUCAUUCAUACAUUGCUUCUUGUUAUUAAGAAUUUUAAUAUGAUAGUGAACUUGGUUGUCUACUACAUCUUUCACUAUCUCAUUUACUUUUUCCAUUUUGUUAAAGACUAGAACAUUUUAAUGGUCUAAUAGUCUAAUAGGUAGUUACUAUUCACACACAUUUAUAAACUCUCCCUCAAAGAUUCACUUUCCCUAUCGUGUACGUUAAAUGUUGUCAUUGUUUUAUUAAUAGUAUUAAGGUAUCUCAUUCUGUUUACAUUGGAAUAGUUGUGUUUUAUGUCAUUCACGAGGUCAAACAUAAAUGACUCACAUACUGUAAAUUACAAAGUAAUCAAUGUCUGGGAAACUGGAGACUUACAAGAAUUUAUUUCUUCCUUGAAAAAGUAGCUGCAGUCAUUUCAAAUGAUCUAAGACUUACUGAAUUUUUGUUUAUAAAAUUAAAUGUAAGCAGUUCUAUUCAAUAUAAGAGCAUAGGUCAUUGUCAGUAAAUUAUAAUUUGACACUACAGUUGAUACUUAUGUAAUUUCUUUGGGGUGAAAUAUGUGACUAUUCUCUGUAAGAUUAAAACUUAC
RNAcentral lists this long non-coding RNA (3539 nucleotides) under Sus scrofa (pig). RNAcentral describes it as "lncRNA (ENSSSCG00000058997.1)". Lineage: Eukaryota; Metazoa; Chordata; Mammalia; Artiodactyla; Suidae. The record is from RNAcentral.